RNAcentral lists this ribosomal RNA (140 nucleotides) under Giardia duodenalis. RNAcentral describes it as "Giardia intestinalis partial 18S small subunit ribosomal RNA". The record is from RNAcentral. Lineage: Eukaryota; Fornicata; Diplomonadida; Hexamitidae.
ACAAGCCAUGCAUGCCCGCACACCCGGGAGGCGGCGGACGGCUCAGGACAACGGUUGCACCCCUCGCGGCGGUCCCUGCUAGCCGGACACCGCUGGCAACCCGGCGCCAAGACGUGCGCGCAAGUGCGGGCGCCCGCGGG